This 207-nucleotide ribosomal RNA is filed under the name uncultured bacterium. Its description in RNAcentral is "partial 16S ribosomal RNA". It matches the Rfam family "Bacterial small subunit ribosomal RNA", at positions 568 to 774 of the family's 1533-position model. The record is from RNAcentral.
CUCGUAGGCGGCUCGUCGCGUCCGGUGUGAAAGUCCAUCGCUUAACGGUGGAUCCGCGCCGGGUACGGGCGGGCUUGAGUGCGGUAGGGGAGACUGGAAUUCCCGGUGUAACGGUGGAAUGUGUAGAUAUCGGGAAGAACACCAAUGGCGAAGGCAGGUCUCUGGGCCGUUACUGACGCUGAGGAGCGAAAGCGUGGGGAGCGAAUA